RNAcentral lists this ribosomal RNA (406 nucleotides) under uncultured bacterium. RNAcentral describes it as "partial 16S ribosomal RNA". It matches the Rfam family "Bacterial small subunit ribosomal RNA", at positions 30 to 526 of the family's 1533-position model. The record is from RNAcentral.
AUUGAACGCUGGCGGCAGGCCUAACACAUGCAAGUCGAACGAGAGGCGGACGGGUGAGUAAUGUCUGGGAAACUGCCUGAUGGAGGGGGAUAACUACUGGAAACGGUAGCUAAUACCGCAAAACAUCAGAUGUGCCCAGAUGGGAUUAGCUAGUUGGUGGGGUAACGGCUCACCAGGGCGACGAUCCCUAGCUGGUCUUAGAGGGUGACCGGCCACACGGGAACUUAGACACGGGCCAGACUCCGACGGGAGGCAGCAGUGGGGAAUGUUGCACAAUGGGCGCAAGCCUGAUGCAGCCAUGCCGCGUGUAUGAAGAAGGCCUUCUGGUUGUAAAGUACUUUCAGCGGGGAGGCGUUACCCGCAGAAGAAGCACCGGCUAACUCCGUGCCAGCAGCCGCGGUAAUUC